This 6681-nucleotide long non-coding RNA is filed under the name Capsicum annuum. RNAcentral's name for it is "long non-coding RNA (CANN_LNC015251)". Lineage: Eukaryota; Viridiplantae; Streptophyta; Magnoliopsida; Solanales; Solanaceae. The record is from RNAcentral.
GCACAAUUGGUCAGCCUCAACCCUAAUCUCUUCCUAUAAAUAAUAGUAUCUGAACGUGAUUUGGACAGGUUUUAUCCUCCGCCCUAUACCAUUUUAGCUAUCCAAAUUGCUCUAAAACAUCUUUCUUUGGCAUUCUCAUUUUGUCUCUGUCAAAAACUCUAGUUUUCGAGUGUGUUUCGAUAUCGUUGUCAUCGAUUUUGAGCGUAGACUAUGGACCAAAGCACCCCCACCCCCGUUCACUGCCAUGCAUCAGGUACAUCUGUCUCCCCUUUUCUCUGUUUCGUCCCUUUAAUAAAAUCUUACAUUAUGUGUGUUUGAAAAAUGUGUAUUAAGAGUUCUGUUUAAGUUAAUCAACUAUAGUGUUAAAAAUGUAUUUUUCUGCUUUAGUUUAAGGCCUGAGAGACUCAAGGUCACAUUCUUUCCACGUUUUGGUUGUCAUGAAUCUGAGAAUGAUUUCUUGUCUUUUGGAUUCACUAUUUGUGCAAAAUUAUUUUUUUUGUUUCUAGAUUAAUACUAGUUAUGGAGAAUUCAUCAAAUGUUUGUUUUGUCUAGUUUAAGGAUGUUGUUUUGUUUAGUUAAAAAAUAUUAUACAGAGUUUUCAUCAAACCUCCUCUAAAUAGACUUUUUUUGGCCUUUCUUUUUAAGUCUUUGUAUUUGUUCUAUUUAGCAAAUAUGUGUAGGUAAGUUAUGGUUCUAAAAUGUCAUCAUACCUGAAAUACUCUUCGAUCAUUCUUUUCGUUCGUGUUUUAUUUUUUAAAAAAACUGUCUUCAUUAUACUUUAAACCUAGUAGAUGUGAGGAUUAUUUUUCGGACAUAUAUCACAAUUUAGCUAUUUUAAGUUGGUUUGAGAGUCCCCAAUUGUGAGAUGGUUAUGUCGUUAGACACUUGCAUAUUUAAUGCGUUGUAUGGUACCUUUGUUAUAUGAUUUAUCUAAUCUAUUUUAUUCAAAACCAUUGAGGAGUUAACCGGCUUUCACUUUAAGUCAUUAAUUUGUGUAUUUUCGAGAAAUCUGUGUACCAGAUAUUUUGUCUAAGUUACUUGGCUAUAAUAGAAGUAGUAUUAAAAUGCACUUUGUUUGAGUUUAAGGCUUGUAGAGAUUCGAAGUCACAUUCCUUUCACGUUUUCGCUAUAAUGAACUUGUGAAUUAUUUUUUUUCUGAGGAUACUUGCAUCAAAUCAGUUUUUUCUUGUUUCUAAAUUGACGUUAGUUACAUAGUUCUCUGAAAAAGGAAAAAAAAUGUUGAGGAGAUGUUGACUUUUGGUUACUUUUGUUUUGAUCAUUUGCCAUCUAUCUCAUCUAAUAUAAUGUGAGCCCAUAAUCCUCAAAGGCCUUGCCUACGAUUUUAUUCCCUUUCUGCAUAUUGCGCACACAUUUUUUCUGGAAGCUUUUAUACAUUUUGUUGGCAGGACAUAUAUGUAGAAAGGUUCAUUUUUGUAGAACAUAUAAUGUUUUGAGGUCCUGGAAUCUUUUUUCAUGUUUUAAAAGAUAUGUGUUUGGAUAUUGUUUGAGACUUAUACAAGUCUGUAUCUAAUCUCGCCUAGCGUAGACAUUACUGAAUUAAAAAAAAAUGGUUUGUUUUGGGGAUAAAAAUGGGGUCAGCUUCUUCGAUUUCACUCCAAGAUUUUUGCUCAUUUGGAAAUGAGAAUGCCAGUGAAAGAUGUUUUAGAGAAGUCUUCAGAGAAGUCUUUGCCAUGAGAAAAGUCUUGCUUUUAAGGCUCUUUGUCAUGAGAGAAAUCUUGCUUUUAAGGCUCGACGUAUCGAUGGAAACAUGCAUCACUCAUCAUGCAUUGCCCUUGUUUCACCCAUUCGAAUAGAAAACAAAAAUGAGCGCGAAGGAGUUGCUAUUUCCAUCUUAGCCUUUCCCUUUACUUGGUUCUUUAUAUGUUUUGUUAUAUUUAUUUAGUUAGCGUUGUCUUCAAUAUUUUGAUUAUUUUCAUAGAACAACAAAGUCGCGAAUAAUUAUGAAGUCAGACGGGUUAGUAGAGAAUGUAAGAGUACUGUGUGUUAAUUCCUACAGUGUUUCCAAGGGAAUAGUUACGCCCCUUUUUUAGAACCAAGUUUUCUCUUGUUUAAAUUCCAAAAAGAUCCUUCUGAAAUUUGCAAAUAAAAAAAAAAAUAUUUUAAACAUUUGAUGUUCCUCUUUCAACUGUAAACAAACAUGUUUCAUUAAAAAAAAUUACAUAUUUUUUUAAUAAGGUUUUUUUAAAACUUUUUUUAAUUGCAAGAAUAGAAAGAAUCCUGCUUUAAUAUGUUUGAAUUUCCCAGAAUUUUUUUUCUAUUUAACAUUUUAUGUCACCUAAUUAACAAAAAGGGGAGAUAAAAGGUCGAAGAUUCUUGUUUUAGUUAAAGCCAAAUGAACCUUCUUUUUUAAAAAAAAAAAUAUCACUUGUUGUUCCGCCAAUGCAAAAGCUCUUUUUAAGUUUAAAUUUUCCCACUAAGUUUAAAAAAUGUUUUCUCACUUUAUAGCUAGGCAUUCUUUUUUUAUUUUUUUAAAUUAUCUUAGAACUUAUUUUGAUUUUAGUUAAUUUGAUUAAUCUAAGUUUGAUCGGUUAAUCAUAGUUAUCGGAUUCCUUAGGGAGCCUAACCCCUUCCCUAUAGGAUAAUUAGAAUCUUUAUCUAGAAUUACUUUAAGUUAAGUAGACCUUAAAAUGAAGUUUUUAUUUUCUUUUAAUCACAUAGUGUAGAAUUGGUGUCCUAAUUCACUGUAGAAACUAAUUAGGUGGCGACUUGCUUAAUUUAAUUAUAAGUUUUUCAAUAUGUUGUACCUUGGUUUGAUCCGUGUUAAAAUAGGGUAUAAUAGCUUGGCGACUUCACCGGCGAUUAUUAGGUUCUUAAUUAGAAUGAUUGAAGGCGUCCUGCACAAGUUGAGGAUAUAGUGAAAAAAUUUCAAUUCAACGUAAAAGUUAGCGGUCACAAGAAAAUUAUGGUGCCUUUCUACACUCUUCAAGAUCUCUCCUGAUAAGCUUGUGGUUAGAGAAUUGAUUUCAUUUUGGGACCCAAUCGAGUUAUAUUUUCAUUCAAAGACUUUGAAGUCACCACCACAUUAGAGGAGAUCAAUUAUUUCACUAAUUUAAAGUAUCAAGGGAGAGGUCAGAUCACUCUGCAUAGUCAAUUAGGAAAGAAAUUUCUUUGCUACUUGGUGUUAAAGAACACUAAUAAACUCCGAUGCUUCAAAAAUAAUUGGGUUUCUUUUGGAUUAUGUGUACGAGAGAUAUGAUUGUCAAGUCAGUUAUAAGUUGUUUAAGAAAGAAUUCACUUGCACUUUUAACAAUUGGUGGGUUAGAUGUCUGAUUACAUUUAUCGUUACCUUGUUAGGAACUUUGGUAUUUCCGCGAGAAUAUGAAAAUAUCAGUACCUACAUAUGUUCUAUGGCUCGAGAACUUUUUAAAAGAGUUGAUGGAGCAGAAAUCACCUUGGUUCCUAUGAUCUUGACAGAAAUAUUUCGUGUACUUGGAAAGUGUAAAACAGGUAAAACAAGCUUCUUUAAAGGUUUCAAUCGUCUUCUGCAGAUAUGGGCAACAGAGCAUCUCUACAAACUUGACAACUUAAUUGACAUAAUGUUUAGUGCUUCACAUGUGAUUGACCCUUAUGAUAAAAGGAUGAGAAGAUUUGUGUUCCCAAUCGACACUGAUGAUUGGUUUGAUAUUUUAGCCUCCCGUACCAGUGACCAAAUCUAGUGGAAAUACCAUUACUCUCAUGUUCUAUGGCUUACAUAGGAUGCAGAGGACUUUAUUAUAUUGAUCUUAUCAGUUUGAAAUGUCUAUAAUGGUCAGACAUAAAUCAUCCCCCUCCGAGCAAAUGUGCGAGUUUCUGAAGUCUUCUUUGGAUCAUACUUUAGAGUCCCUAAAGCUAGUCAAAUUCUACAUGAAUGGAGUAAUAUUCUCACAAUAUAUGUGAGGCAUAGAUCAGCAGAGUGUAUUCCAGAAUAUCAAGUAUGGAUUCGAGAAUAUUGUGGCAAUAUAGACCCUAGUCCACAAGGUGAACAAGGUUUUGAUGAUGUUGGAAUGACUAUUUGGAUAAGGCAUUCUCGUCUUGGAAUCAUGGUGGUCACGCCUGAAAUGUGGGCUCAAAUGGCCAACAUAAUAUAGUAUUUGGAAAAUGCGGGAGUGGGGCCUAAUAAUAUUGGAGCAUCAUCUUCACAUCCUCCAUCGACAUGAUUAGAAGCAGGGUCUAAGCCACGUCCUAGGAUUGUCUUUGUACUUUUUAUGUAUUUUGACUUUAUUUCUUAUUAUUGUACUUGAUUAAUAUUUCAAUGAACCAUGGCCUUUUAUUUCAAAAAUCAAAUCUUGUCUUAAAUAAUGGCUUGGAUCAAUUUAUCAUAAUCUCAAUUAUUUGACGCUUAGGUCCACCUCUUGUCACAAAAGAGGUCAUGUUCAUAGUAGGAUGCAUUUUGAGUUUUCUGAUAUUAGGUGCUUUGUUUGCAACAUGAUACAUGUUUUUCUUUCUUUUCCAACAUUUUUUGCUUAUGUAACGACCCUUCCGGUCAUUUGUGAAAUUUUCCCGUCUUCUCUAUUUUAGCGCUCUCUGUAGUUGGUGUAUGUGAAUUAUGACUCACAAGAUGAGUAGUCUCAAUGCUUGAGGUAUUUGAAAGUUUUGAAUAUUUUAAACAAUUAGUUAAUUAAUAAAUUAAUGGAUCAAAAUAGCCAUUUAUUUAUUUAUGUGGUUAAUAUAAGAAUUGAAUUAAGUAGAAGAGGUUUAUCUUAUUUAACAAUAAUAUAAUACCACUAAAAGUUGAAAUAAAAGUAGUGGCUGAACGUAGCAAUUACAAGAUUCACACGAACGGUUUAAGGAAUUCGCAAUAAUCAUCAGGUUAGCCACUUGAGAAAUUAUUAAUAGUAUAUUUAUGUAGGCGUUUGGAUGUAUUGCAGUGUUAAAGAGAAGUGCGGCAAAUUUUGUUAAUUGGAAUUGGCUAAUAAAGAACUUAGUCUUUAAUAUGACAAAGUGUUGAUGGCCCAAUGGAAUUGGCCAAUUACAGACAGCACUUGAUAAGCCUUUUAUGGAAUUUUGCAUAUGUUGUAGGGGUCCGUACAAUGACCAUUUUUCUCAUUAUUUAAUAAUUGUUUUUCUCUUCUCUUUUCUUUCCGUAAUUUACUUCAUAUAUUAAAGAGAUUGCAGUUUAGGUCUAGAAUUUUUAGAGUAAGAAUAUAUAAAUUGGAGUUAUUAGAUUCGUAUUUUUAUAUGAACUAUAUGCUUGAACAGAUUUGGAUCUUUUAAAAGCUUUACGAAAGGGCAAGACCUUGACAAAUUUGCUUGUGUUUGAAUUCUUCGGUUGAGGUAGUUUACGGUUUAAUUAGAGUUUAGCCUUGACUUAAGUGUUUGUAUGCUCCUAAAUUGAAUACUUGUUGAUUGGUAUUUGGACAUGCUUCAAAUUGUUGAUGUUUGGAUUUUUAAUGCGUGUAUAAAUGAUUAUUAAAAAUUUACUCGAUGAAAUUGUCUUAUGACUUUAAGUGUACUUGUAAACUUGGUACAUUGUAUCGUAUGUUUGUGAAUUUGUGUAAAUUUGAUGUUGAUAAUACUUGUUUAUGUUGGAUCGGGUACCAUGCCGGUACGGAUAUGUAUAUGUUUGAUUGGGUACCACGUUGAUACGGAUAUAUAUAUGUUGGAUCGGGUAUCACGCCGGUACGAAUAUUUAUAUGUUGGAUCAGGUACCACGCUGGUACGGAUAUGUAUAUGUUGGAUCGGGACCACGCCGGUACAGAUAUGCAUAUGUUGGAUCGGGUACCUCACCAGUACGGAUAUGUAUAUGUUGGAUCGGGUACCUCACCAGUACAGAUAUGUAUAUGUUGGAUCGGUACCACAUUGGUACAGAUAUGUAUAUGUUAGAUCGGGUGCCAUAUCAGUACAAAUAUGUAUAUGUUGGAUCAAGUACCACGAUGGUACGGAUAUGUAUAUGUUGGAUCGAGUACUACGCCGGUACGAAUAUAUAUAUGUUGGAUCGGGUACCACGCCGGUAAGGAUAUAGAUAUGUUGGAUUGGGUACCACGCCGGUAUGGUACAUGAACAUAUACUAUUCCCUGCAAGUCAUGACUAUUUGGGCAAAAAUAAGUCUCAUAGCAUGUGUGUAUAUAUUUGUGUUGAUUCUGUGGAUGUUUACAGUAUGGUUGAUACUUUUAAUAGUUAUGUGGCUUGGUUAUGAGUAUUGUUUGACCUGUUAUUGCUAUAUUAUCGAUUCAUUAAAUUGUUAGUAUAUAACGAUGCAUGUCUACUUGUUAUUUGAUUUACGUUAUGUACAUGCUAUUAAGUUGAGUUGGCCUAUGAUGCCUACCAGUACAUAGUAGUUUGUACUGAGACUACCUUGUACUCUCUUUUUUUUAGUGCAGAAAACGUUCUAGAGGCUUAGACAUGACCUUACCUCUAGAGUUUGAUAACAGAUCUUGAUCCAAGGGUGAGCACUCCAUCUCCAAGCUGCCAUGGGUCAUCUUGUUUUUUCUCUUCCAUCUUUUGGAAAAUGAAACAUUCUUUAUUUACUUUAUGUUUUGGAUAUAUUUUUAGACCUGAUCUUGGUUAGUAGUUCUUGUAUGAUGACUUUCAGGUCUUGGGGAUUUUAGCAAGUAGUUUGUUUGACUUCCGCAUUAAUAAUUAUUAGUCCUGAAUUAUUGUUAUUAUGUUGAUUUUAUAAUGAUUUAUCUUAAUAUUGACUAAGUGAUUGAGUGAUGAUUCCAGUUAGAUGGUUCUCCCACA